CAAAACCAUUGCACUCAAUGCAAUGACAAAAAAUGUUAUUAUGAACAUUGGUAGAGUUCAUGUAGCUUGGCAAAAUGGAGACUUUCAAAUUGGAGGGGAUCAAGUGACCCCUACAAAUGUUUACGGGACUGAUGCUGAUCUAUAGAUUCUAAAUCUCAUUCCAGAUCAAGAAGCCUUAGGUUAUUUGGGUGGAGGAAUUUAUUUUGAUGCCUUACUGUGACACGGGCAACCUCAAAAGAUGAAAAUAUUUCUUAAAUUUUGUCAAACAUAAAUUUGGAGCAUCUUCUUCAUUGGUUUUGGAAGUAAUCCGCAUGUGAUAGUGAUGAUAUAUAUUGAAGAUGGAUACACAUAUAUGUGUAUAAAUGUAAACCACAUAGAAACAAAUCAAAUGUUUAUAAAAUAUAUUAUAUAUUAUGGAGAAUAAGUGUUUACAACUUUCUUGGUUGCACAGCUCUUCAAUUUAUACACCUCUUAAGAAGCAUCUAGACCCUUUACCACCGUUCACCACUAAGGAAGGUUCUACAGGGGUUUAUUAUAGUUAUAUACCAAAGAAAUUUUAUAAUUAUAUUAAGAGAAAAUCUAAACUUUUUCACACGCAUCCCAUAAAUACUAGAAUACACUUGCAAAUUCUAGGAUGCUCUAAAUUAUUUUAGAGAUGUUUAGAAAAUUCAAAUAAAUAAAUAAAUAAUUACUUCAUAAAAUAAAUUGUGCAAUAUACUAUGCGUAGCGUAAUAUUAAGUUAUUUACAUUGCUGCUUGGUAGUCAAUAAUGUGUCUUUGAAACGACCAUAAUCAAUUCCCAAUUAUAUAGAUUUAUGAGUUGCUACCAAUCACCAAUUAUUGCAAAUUUCGUGAUACUGCUCGACUUCGAACUAUAUGAUUACGUCAACUUCUCGGUCCAAAGAUAAAUAAUGAAUGAAUGCAUUUUUGAUGAAUCAUUCCGUAAAGGAUCCUUUACAGAUAAGGAUUCAACAUAUUAGUGGUCCAUCUCACCAACACCCUACUCCCAACAACCAUAGAGAUGAUAUUUAUUUUUUGUCAAGUACACUAUAGGUGCUAAUAAGAAACAUUUUAUAAAAUCACCUCAGACCCCAAAUGAUUUUGCUUAAAUUUCCAAAUGUUCUUGUCUUAAACCAAAAAUUAAAAUGGAAAUAUUUUCUUAUAUUGCAUCUACGAGGCUUACUUUUGACAUAUAUUCAACACUUUGUGUGUCUAAUGUAACAAAAGGAAAUGAAUUACCUUAUGCACAUAAUGCAACACCACUAGGAUAUAAGGGUAACCCUAAAUUUUGUUGCCUAAGAUGAUUCAUUAGCAUAGUAGAUAACAUAGUAGAUCGAAUUUUAUUAUGGUUCAUAUAACAUCCGAGCCCAUAACUGAAUGCAUACCGGACCAAACAACCCAACACAUCUAGUUACUUGAUUUAUGAACUAAGUCUAUUUAUAAUGUACUUAACUACUAUACUAAUGAAUUAAUUAGUUUAAGUUAAUCAUGUAGAGAGACAUGAUGAUGUUGUGGUAUUUAUAAUGGGACCAAUUUUACAGUUUCAUCUUUGAGUCAACAAAAUUUAGCGUAACAUUUUUAUCCUAGUGGUGCAUGUCGCAUUAUGUGCAUAAUGUAAUUUGUUUCCCUUUGUUGCAUUGACAUACAAAUUGUUGCAUUAUAUGUCAAAAGUAAGCCUCGUAUAUGCAAUAUUACAAAAGAAUAGUCUUUUUUACUUAUUGGUCUAAGACAAGAGCAUCUGGGAAUUCAAGUAAUAUUAUUUGGAGUCUGAGGUGAAUUUAAAAAAAUAUUUCUUGUUAGCACUUAUAGUGUACUUGACCAUAAUGAAUAUCAUUCGCCUUUUGACCGAGAACUUGACGUAAUCGUAUAGUUCAAAGUCGAGUAGUACCACGAAAUUUGCAAUAAUUAGUGAAAUGGAAGCAACUCGCUAAGCUAUAAUAGGAAAUUGAUCAUGACUUGUUAUUGUUUCAAAGAUAAGUUACUGACUACAAAGCGUCAACGUGGGCAUCCUAAUAUUAGGCUAGGGAUAGUAUAUUGCACUAUUUAAUUUAUGUCAUUUUUUUGCUGAAUUUUCUGAACUACUCUAGUAUAAUAGUAUAAUUUAGAGCAUCCUAGAAUGUUCUUGUGUAUUGUGGUAUUUAUGGGAUGCGUGUGAAAAGGUUUAGCAUUUUGUCGUAAUAUAAUUGUAAAUAUCUUAGAUAUAUACCUAUAGUUAACCCCUCCAGAACCUUCCUUAGUGGUGAACAGUCGUCAAGAAUCUAGAUGCUUCUUAAGAGGUGUGUAAAUUGAAGAGCUCCCAGCAACCAAUAGUUGUAAACGCAUACACAUACACUUGUUCAUAUGCACAGAAUUUAUCUUAUUUGUAUAUCCUAAGGUACUCGGACUCGGGUACGGAGUGUCCGAUACGACACACAUCUGAGUGUCGGAUUCGCUAAUCUCGAAAAUUUAGGUCACAGGCACACCGUCCAAAUUUUAGACACCGGUACGGGGACACGGCAAAUUUGAAAUAAAUAAUAUAUUUUUAUAUGUAAAGAUUAAAUAAAAAUAUAUUGUUAUUCAUUAUUAUUAUAUUUAAUGUAAUUAUGAAAAAAUAUUAUUAAUAUAACUGAUUUUUAAGAUAUUUAAAAUAAAUAAUUUAUUUAGAAAAUAAUUUUUUAAUUUUAAAUCAUAUUCAUCCUCAUGUACUUCAAUAUCAUAUUGACUAUAGAACGACAAUACUGGAAAGUGAUCCCCAAAUUGUGUUGGUUAUACACAUUUUAAUACUUUCAAAAAAAAUAAUACAUGAAUUUAAAAGGUAAUGUAUUUUGUGAGUUGAUGCCAGCUGGAUCUUUAUAUUUGAAAUGAACCUGGACUAAAUCAAGUCUAGAUACGUUAUGUUAUUUUGUGGAGCUCAUCUAUACACACGCAUAUACUCCAUAUACAUCGUCUUCUUCAUCUGCUUUUCCUAUUCAUCUCUUUCAGUCUUCUUUCUUCUUCUUGUUUUCGAUCUUUAACCUCGUCUAAUCUCUUCUCAAUACAUGACUUAUCUCUGGCGAGCUGUGAUUUAGAUGCUCCGACGACCUUCGACUUUUCUGGCGACGGAAAAGAAGUGUCGAGAUUUUCAUCGACGAAUCCGUCCCGUAUCCCGUGUCGUGUCCCGUGUCGUGUCGUGUCGACACAUGUACGAUCGCCGGAGUAGGCGAGUCGGAGUAACACAGUGUAUAUCAAUGCUCAAUAUCAUAGGUGGAUUACUUUCACAAACAAUGAAGAAAAUGCUUCAAAUUUACAACACCUCCCGAGUCACUAAUUUGUCCUGAAGGUAUCCUUCACGAUUCUCUUGAUCUUCUCCUAAGAUUAAUUUCUGGUAAUUUUAUUUGACAAGGCUUCCCAUGCUUUAUACAAUAGUCCAUGUGAUUCACGCGAUCUAAUUAGUCUAAUACUUUUAGUACGACGUUGAUGCACAGUGUGUUAGUUUUGACCAUAAUUACUUCCCAACCUUGUACUUCUCUCAAAAAGCGUUCCUUUAAUAGGUUUAAAAUUAUGAAGAGGGCAAUGCCAUUGGAUGAUCAGAUGAACAUAUCUUCUGAUGAGUCAUUAUCUUCUGAACCAGACAUUGCAGAGUUGGCUGGCAAGCUUGUUCAGGACAUACCAAUUGAUCAACCAACUGACAUUGUUAUGACAACUGAUCUGGACGGCUUUCCCCUUUAGAAAAGAUCAUAUAUAAAUGGUGUAAAGUCAACGGAUUUGAGAUCACAAUGACCUCUUCAUAUACGGUCUUGGGUUGAUUUUCAAGUAAGUUUUUACCUUUGUAAAGUUGUAAAAUCACAUCAAAAAAGGAGAUCUUUGUCAAGUUAGUUUUAAUAUAUCUAAAUAUUAAUGUCAGUAUUUUACAAUUUGGAGGUUAAAUAUUAGUAUCAUAUUUUGAUAUCAUAUAUUUUUCCAUAAAGAGUAUGAUUAAUGAUUUUGUUUAUUUUCCUGACAAAAAAUAUAAAAUCCUUUUUUAAUGUUAUUUGUUCUAACAAGAAAAGAUUAAUAUGAAUUAUGAAUAUUUUAGUAUUUGAUUGAUAUAAAAAGUAAGACAAAAUCAUACCAGAAAGAUUAGUACAACAUUGCAUACAAUUUAGUUCCACGUCACUAACUAUAUUAUUUAUAUUGAAAGAAUUAGGAAAUAUUGCCAUUUAAACUGUAUUAAAUUGCAACAUUAAAUUAUCUUUCUUUCCUCAUGAUUAUAAGCUAGUAAAAUACAUUUGGUUCUUCCUAUUUUUAGAACUUAAUUAUAUCACAUUUUAAAUUACUAAAUCUUCCAUCUUCUUUGCAGAAACAUAGAAAGAAAGAAAAGCACUCUGUUAAUCUGCCUAGAAUUGCUAGUCCAGUAAUGUCAACUGUGCUGCCUGCAGCACCACUGAACAUUUUCCCACAAGAAUUAUGUUGCAAAUAUGAGGGGACAAUUUAAAGUGGUUCCUGGGAGAUUUGGUCUUGGGGCAAUGGAAGUCCCCCGGCCCCCAGAGGUACUGGAAAGCGGUCACUUGAGCAGUGGUCUGCAGACUCUAUAUCAUGAACCAGCUGGUGCAACCGAGGCGUGAUACCAUCAAGCAGUCUCCUGAGUAGUGGGUGGCAGACUCUGAACUGUCACCCGAACAAUGGCCUGCAGGCCCUGAACCAAGAAAAUGCUGGUGAUACUGCGAUAGCGAUGUUGAUCUGGGAAAUCCAGUUAACAUGGACAGUCACAGCUUUGAAGAAGGCACUAGUGCAAAUCAAGUGCUGGACGAUCUGCCUAGUGAGGAGGAAGUUAGUAAUAUGAUACAGGAUCUUGAAGCCUAUGAUUUAUUUGAUUUGAUAAAUUAAAACCAAACAAAGGUAUUCUCUUUCAGUUUUUUAGCAACUAUUCAGAAGUUUAACAUAAAACAAUUGAAAUCAAUCAAUACUAAAUGCUUUUGUAUGUUCAUGAGAUCUCUGUUUUCUGAGAACACUAUCUUAUGUUUAGUAUUAAUGGCUCAUUAAUGGUUGUAUUACUUCAUGUUUAGUGUGUUUUUUGUAUAAUUUUGGCUCGAUUGUUUUUAAUACUCGUUUCCUGUAGUUAAAUCUAUAUUCAGUAAACUAUUAAUAUAGAAUGUAUUAAUAAAUUGUUAACUAUAAAAAAAAUUUACCUCUGCAAUUAUAAUGUAUUAUGUAUAACUGAAUCCACUGUUUUCCAAGCAAGUAAAACUGUAUACUAGCAGUAUACAGCUUUGGCCCUUUGUCUGGGUAUAUGUGAGUACUUGUUUAACAGAAGCUAGCAAUUAAAUGUUUAGCUAUAAAAAUUAUGAAAUCCAGUUAUUAAUAAGUAUUAAAUAUUAUCUGUCUUGCAGGAGGAAUAUAGCGUAAGUUCGUUCUUUAAAGGCUUACUUGACUUGUCUGGCUGGCCCCAAAUGCUCAAGUUAAAUGAUUGACCUCAAUCUGGGUUUUGUGGAUCAUCUCCCAAGUCAUAAUGUGGAGUUCUUACACACAUCCACAGAGCGGCUACUUGAACCUUGCUGUCAAGUUACCCGAGGGCCAUCUGAAGCCAGACAAAGGGCCAAAGCUGUAUACUGCUUAUGGCUUUUCCCAGCAACUCGGACGUGGUGACUGUCUCAAAACUCAGCUAUUAUAAUUCAGAUGCGGUAUGAUCUAGUUUGUAAAUAGAGUGAAUAACUUUCACAAACAAUGAAGAAUAUGCUCCAAAUUUACAACCUCUCCCAAGUUAAGUUGUUUUUAAUUGUGCAAACAAUUUUGUUACCUAUGCAAUGUAUAUAUCAAUGUAUGUCAUAGAAUCACCUCCACUGUUUAUCAAUUAUCGUACUUCAUAAAUAUGACUUAGUCAUGUAGUUUAGAAAUCUUAGUAUUUUUGUCCAUAUCUUUUAAUAAUUUGUAAAGUUUGGUAUAUUCAUUAUGUUCGAAACAGUCUAAACAUUGGCCAAUUGUUGCUUUGAAAAUAAAUAUACUUUUCAAACAAAACGGACAUGUGAUACCAUGACAUACCUUUAGUGUGACCAAUUAUAUUAAAGCUUAAAAUGAGACUUGUUAGACAUGAUAAAUGGUACCACCGACAAAACAUAUAUGGUUAAACUAUUUUCUCAUUGUAUCCUUAAACUAUUUUUUAUUGUAUCCCAAAAUUUUGUAACAUGUGUAGCUAUAAUUUAGUUUGAGAUGAAUUGUUUUUUAAAAAAUUUUUACACACAAGUUCGUGGUUGACUUGUCAUUCUUAUACAUUUUUAUUUUGCAAAAAUAUAAAAUAUGUAACACCGAUUAUGAAUAGUUUGUAAAAACCAAGAAGCUCGUAUUUAAGCCUAACAAGAUUAUGGACUAGAAAGAUUCAUAAAGUGAAGAACCUUUAAUGACUGAUGAUUAGAGAACUAUUUAUUAUUAGAUAAUAUGUGAGAACUAUUUAUCAAAUAAUAUGUGAACACAUAGGUUGUUAACAUUUGGGAUAGAGGUUUGGCACGUAUUUUAAAUCUUUUAUUUAAUAUAGUUUGAAAAAUUAUUAUAAUUUUUUUCCUUCUACAUGAAAACUUAAUGUUCAAUUUCUUAAUCAGAAAAAAAAAUGUCAAAAAUAAGUUAUUGAACUACGUCUUAAAUACCUGUUAAGCAAUGAAAAAAAUUGUUAAAAAAAUGGAAGGAACGGAGAGAGUACGGAAGAAUGUUGAACUACAAUGUGCUAAGGAGUUUGAAACUUUAUAAAUUAAAUUAAAAUAAUGUACAUACAAGCACUCAACCUCGAUGUGGGCAUGGUGUACUGAAACAGGCUGAAAUAUGGCAGAAAGUCCCUGAAUUAAUCUAGCUUAAAAGCUGAAUUUCCCAUGACAGAUUUGGGGCCUUUGACUUAUUUUCUCGAAUUGCAGUACAACGUCAUAGCAAAGGACUAUUUUAAGCCAAGAAAAAUAUGCUGAAGCUAUUAUUGAAAAGGCAGGAAAGGCUGCUUGUAAAUGGGUUUCCACUCCGGUCGAUACAAAAGCAAAAAUUAGUGCUAAUGAAGAGGAGCUAGCGAGGAUCCCACAUUGUAUCGUAGCCGAGCUGGUGCACUUCAGUACUUAACAUUUACACGCCCUGACAUUAGCUAUGCAGUCCAGCAGGUUUGCCUACAUAUGCAUGCCCCUCGCCAACCGCAUUUUAAUGCUCUUAAGCGCAUUAUUAGGGCCUCGUUUGGUUCCCUGAUUUUGUAGUUACACCGCAACUUUCUUAUCCUUGGAACUAGGUUACAUGGUACAUAAGUCGUGUGCAAAUUAAAAACCUGUGUUUGGUAAUGUGUGGUAAUGUACGGUUCGGGUCUGUGUAACUAAAAUUUUGAAUAUAUAAUAAAAUUUUGUUGUCAUACAAAUUAUAUAUAAAAAAUGAAGUUAUUUAUAUAAUAAAAUAAGUUAAAUAAAUAAAUAAAAUAAAUAUAGAUUUCAAAUUAAAAAUUAUGAUACUUUUAAAAAUUAAAUAAAUAUUACAAUGAAUUAAUAUCUUAAUAAUAUAUUACAAUGUGGCAAAUAAAAUAAAAUAAUAUAUUAUAAGAUUUUUAGUUUUGAGAAAAUAAAUAACAAAAAAAGGUAUUAAGAAAAACAUUCAAUAACACUGAAUUUAAAUAUAUUAUUAUUAAAUCAUGAAUAAUAAAAAAAUAUACAUAUAAUAUAAUAUGUUAUACAUAUAGAAAAUAAAUUGUGUAUAUAUAAAAUAAUUAAAAUCGGAUAUAAAAUUUAAUAUUAAGUGAUGUAUGUAUAUAUAUAAUGAUAAUAUAAAUAAAUUUUAAAUAAUAUUAUUAUAUUAGAGGUAUAAUUUAGAUUAGUGUCUUUAACUCAAAUUUUGACAGAUAAUUACAAUUUUGAUAUGCUAUAUCAUUUUAAUAUAUAAUAUUUUAUAUUAUGUGUAACUCAUAGUACCCGCCUCUCAGCUAUGUAACUAGGUUACCGUGUUUCACUGCAAGUAAAAGAUCCUAGGAAAUUUGAGUUACAUCAUAAAUUAGAAAAUCAUGCAACCAAACGCUGUAACUAAAAUAAGUUCCAUGGAACUACAAGUUACGGUGUUGGGUUCCAUCAUACCAAACGAGGCCUAGGUACAUACAUGGUUCAUUUGUAUUCAGCACCAGUGUCAAGUUUGAUAGCUUACACUGAUGCAGAUUGGGAAAAAUGUCCCGACACCCGUCGAUCUACUUCUAGGUAUUGUGUUUUUCUGGGUAUUGUUGCCAACAUCGUGGCAGAAUCUUGUUGGAUUAGAAAUCUUUUACUCGAAUUACAUUGUCCAAUUCAUAAAGCUACAGUUGUAUAUUGUGUCAAUGUCAGUGCUGUAUAUUUAUCAAGCAACCCUGUUCAACAUUAACGGACGAAACAUGUGGAGAUGGAUAUACAUUUUGUUCUUGAACGGGUUGCCUUAGGCCGUGUUCAAGUUCUUCAUGUUCCCUCUUCCUACUAGUACGCUGAUGUUUACACAAAGGGUCUUCCUCGACAUCUAUUCCUUGAUUUCCGAUCCAGUCUGAGCGUUCAUCCUCCUCCCGCUCUGACUGCGGGGUGUGUUAGAGAAUGAAACUUCCCAAAAAAUAUAUAUAUUAAUGUUUACAAAAAAAGAGAGAUUUGGGCCUAUAAAAUGAUUCUGAAUGUGAGAUAAUGCCUAAUCUGAAAAUGCACAUCGACAAAAUUAUUGAUCAAUAUUUAGAAAGAAGAAAUAAAUCUUGACUAAUUUACUAACCGAUGUGAUCACCGGGAAUAAUAGUUCUUAAAAUAAGGAGAAUGAUAUAUAAUCAUAGGGGAUGAAUGUUAAUAAAAUAAGAAAAAUGUCAUUAUUCUGCGACACUCGAUAAAUAGUGUUAGAUUUAUGGAUUCUUUUACUCUUAUUGCCUGAUUCAGACAUGCACAUCAACAAGAUGAACAUCGAUUGGAAUUCAAAACCUCGAGAAAGCAAAGAUGAAGAUCCGAUGUUGCCUAUAUCAGAUGCAGAAGAUGACCUUUUGAAACUUGGAGAAGUGAAUCAGAUGCCUCCUCCAAUAAGAUUUGAAAAUAUCAUAUCUACGUGAUCAGAUGUGAAUGUUCCGGAAACAACUGAUUUACUAACCGGCUUAGUUGUUGGGGAUGACGAUCCAGAGAAUGAUAAUGUCCUACAAGAUUCAAUAAAUAUUGGCAGGGAAUUACCAGCAUUAAGAAAAUUCUGUCAACUUAAAAAUAUCUCUGUUUUUUGUUUGCUACAUUGGUGCUAUGAUUUGUACUUAAGAAUUAUUCAUGUGAUUGUCCUUGAGAAUCGUUGAAUUAAAUUGAUCUUUUAGUUAUUACUUACACAAAAAAUAAGCGAGUUGCUGCAUAUAUCAAAGUCCCUUGAACUAGUAUACAGGAGUUGUUUGAAUGUAAUACACAUCUGGUAAUUCUAGAAUUAUUUGGCAGACUCAAAUGUUUGGUCUCAACUUAAAAACAGUAAGAAUGUACCUAUGCAAUCGAAGGCUAAUGAAUACAAUAUACCUAUGCUAUGGAAAGCUUUACCCGUUACAUAUUAUUUUUCAGACUAUUCUGUCCCUAAUAAACGAUUUUGUCAAGCUCUGCAACUUAACCACUUCUAGACAUAUGUUCUUCUGCAAAGUAUAUAUAUCUGAAGAAAGUACAGUUGUAACUUGAACCUCAUCUCUUAUUUGGGUCCGCGACGAUUAUGAAAUUUUAUUGGCUCUUCAUGAUGAGAACAAUCACCAACAUUGUCUUCUUGAUUCACCCAUUUUAAAGGAAUGCGGAUAGACAUGGAAGUAAGACCAAUGGUAAGAUGAUGAUUUAGACCUCCAACAGGUAUAUGCAUGCGGAUAAAUAUAACCAAACCAAAAUCAAUGUUACUGAUUUAGACCAAAACCUAAAGUAGUGUAUACAAGGCUCAAACAAGUGUUCAUAAAAACAAUAUUGUUUCAUAAAUUCGAUCAACCAUUUGAUACAACAGAACUACAAGCUACUAAUUAACAUCUUUGCCUUUUAGUAACAACCAGCGAUGAACAUUCAUCACUAGCCCUCAAUCGCUUUGAAGAUCCCAAAUCCCACGAAUAGCUUUCUUUCAUCACUUCUUGCAGCUUCUCUUCAUGAAUCCCAUUGUCCUCCAGUAAAGUUCCCCGAAGCUCUUCCUCAAACUUGUAGUAGUUCUCAAAAUACGACUUGUGCAUUCCUUUUAGGAGCCACAAUGCACAACUCAGGGGUCCUGUACUUCCACAUUCAUCCAUACCCUCUUCAGAUAAUGAUCUAGUGCCAUUAGGCUCUUUCGGGGCAAAAUAUUCAUACGGUUUUAUCAGCAAAAGGUUACUUCGAUCUCUUGCCCAUACAUUCAAGAACUCCACUUUUAUGAACAGGCACAACUUCAAGUCCCUUUUGGCCUUUUAUAGUAGAAUCCUCCUUGGAUAUAAUUCUUGAGCCGAAGUAAACACCGUGAGGGUCAAGAAAGCCAACCAUGAUCCUAGCAUAAUCGCGUGAUCCAUUCGUGUACACAUACAUAUCAAACAACUUACUUGCCUCUCGCAAGAAUUUCCUCCCAUAAGGCCUUAACUUUGUCAAAUACUUAACGCCCGUGGCUUUCCAUCUGCGCAAAUUUUUCUUUCGAGUGUAAUUACACAAACCAGUUAUUUCUUCGGGGGAAAGUUUGUGUAGAGGUUUGGUAUGAAGAAGAGUCUGGUCCAAGUCCAAAACCAAACAGAGCUUUUCUCGAUUUCGUAAGUUCUGCAAAUUAAUUCGUCGAAUCAAUUCAUCCCUGCCGAUCUCUGCUGCAACCUGGUGGGAAAUUUGAGCGCGCAGUGCACUAUAGACAGCAACUUGGUUACAUAAAUCUCGUAAUGUAACAUCAGGUGAGAUUUCUUGAUUUCCCAUGAUUAUAGAAGUCAUGUAGUUCAGAGAUUUUAGUAGUGACAUAGUAAUGAAUGCUGAAUAGUUUUUUGAUAUUUAUAAAUAGAUUUUGAUAUCAAUUCAUAGGAUUAGGAUUUAAUCCUACGAAACUUAGGAUGUAGGAAAAUACACUUAAAAAAGUCCAUGUACUUUCUUUUGUCGGGAAAGUCCAUGUCCAAGAAUAACUUUUCUUCAAGCCACUUUUAAGAAUUUUGACUGUGCAUAUAAAAUUAUUAUUUUUAAUUUUUUUAUGAAUAAAAGUAUUUCACUAAUAUAUUUAUUCACAACAAGAAAAUUUCAAAAUUAAUAAAUUUAGAUGUGUGGUCAAAUCUCUUAAAAAUGCGUGCAAGAAAAUCAAAAGACUAAUAUAUCCAAACAGAGGGAGUAAUUAAUAUUAAUUUUAUUUUGGUAAUUAGGUUUUUUUUAAAGGAAUUAUUUAUUAUUUAUUUUAGUAGUUAUAAAUAAAGUAUAUGAAUUUAAAAUUAAUUGAAUAAUAAAUUAUCACUACUAAUAGUAGAAAAAUAUUUACAAAUAGAUAAUAAAUUGUAAAAGCAAAAUUUUCGUGAGAAAAUAUAAUCAUUUGGUUAAUAUAAUAUAAUUAGAAUUCAAUUCAUUCAUAUUAAAAUAUUAAUAAAAUAAUGUUAAAUUUUAAAUUAUAAAUAAUAAAUUACGAACUAUAUAUUUAUCCGUACUUCCCACGAGUUAAAGGCUGAAAUAGGUUAUAGGGCUAAAUAAUAGGUCAAUUUGUCCCCUCCCGAACGAAUCAAAUAUUGAACUAUUAUUUCUUGUCAACUGAAACAAGCGAAAUUGAAUUAUGGACCAAAACAGAAUUAAUAGGAACCAAACUAAAAUGAAAUUCUCUAUAUAGAAAUUGUAUUUAUUUUUUGACGGAAUUGUAUUUUUUUUUAAUGAAAACAAAAUAAAGAAAUAGCUCAAGACUAGCAAGUGUUUGUCACUAGAUUAAAAUAUUAAAACCACAUGCUCAGCCCCCGUUUAAAAAACGCUCGCGCUCUCUCCCUUUCUCCCAUAUGUGGGUAUGAUUUAGGACUACCAAUUGGUAUUUCUUCAAUUGACCACCAUAACUUAGGGUUUUUGGUUUGAAUCAGGGGUUCCUUUUUAUUUCAAUUUUUCAACUCAAGAGUUCAAUUGCUCUGAUUAGUUUGGUUUCUCUCUUUGUUUCAGGGUUCUGAGAGAGAUUCUUGUAGUGUGUUAAAAACUCUAAGAAGAGUUAGCUUAUUGAUUCUGUUUGUGACCAUGUGCACAGGCUCCAGUGCUCUGCAACUGUUUAUCCUCUUUCUCACCCACAACCCAAGUGUAUCAAAACUACCAUAUUGGUAAUAUUUCUCUCCCUCCCUCCCUCUGUUCUUGUUAUAUGUACUGUCUACAGUAAUUUUUUUGUCUUAGAAUCAGGCAAGUGUUUGCUUUGUCCAAGGUCGUACAAAAGCUAUAAUGUUUUCUUAAAUAUGAAACACAUGUACAGCCACUAGGCUUCUUGGAGUUGGGAGGCAAUGGGUCCUCUUACAUUAUUUGUUGAUAUGAAAAGCUCUUCUUCAGGUUAACUAUCCCCCUCAUUUUUCAUUCAAGCAUUCUUUUGACAUUUUCUUAUGGUUCAAUUGUUUAUUAGAAUUAGCCAAAUGGUACCAAUGACUAUUUUGGGCUUCCAAGUGGUAACACCCAACUUUUGACUUCAUCCAUCACAUACCACUCUGUUAAUCAAACGUUAAUCAAGCUGUUAAGUAGUAAUUAAAACCAUAUUUCCCUCCAAAAUACUGUUACCAGCAAGUUAAUACAAUAUCCAAAACAACCAACAAGUCUGAAUCAAUAAUGAACUACAAGAGUUUCACAAAUUUCCCAAAAUAUGUUCUAACCAUUUAAAGCAUAAUAAGCAUAAUAAAACAGGUCAGAUUUAAGGCUGAGAUUGAGAUGGUGGACAUUGAGACGUGUUGAUUUCAGUGGACUGUGAUGUGUUGCCCUCCUUAGUCUGAUUUGAAGCUUCCUUUUUUAGAGCUGCAGUUGCUUUCCUUGCCUUGGAUUGAUCCCUAAUUCUUGGAUGUCUAACCACUAUUGGUCCAUUCCCUGCUGCCUUCUUUUCUUUUGCAGUCAAACCUCCCUUGCAAGUUCUUGAAUUGUGGCCAAGGCAGUCACACUUAGUGCAUUUCACUGUUUUUGCUCUCUUCCCUUUCUGGUUUUCUCCUUCUUCCCUUCUCCUGUUUCUGCUUGGUCUCCCAACCCCUCUCUUCAUUGCAGGUGGCAUGACAAUAGGUAGAUCAUCAUAUGCAGGCCAUUGGCUUUGGUCAGGUAUGGGGUUAAUGCUAAAACUAUAAGAAAGCUUGUAUGUCCUAACAGAGUACCAUGCACUGACAACAUUGUGAGGAUCAAUCUUGGCAUGAACCAUAGCCCUUAUGGCAUGCCUACAUGGGAUGCCACUAAUCUGUAGUGAGGUUUUAUCUACAUCAACCUUAACCUCUACUUGAGUACCCAAGUGAAAAAUUAAUACUUUCUCCAUCUGCACAUAUGUUGACAAUCAUAUUACACCCAAUGCACCAGUUAACAGUUAUGAGUAUUAUACAUAUCAAUGUAUAUUAUGCAAACCCAAAAAACCUCAUUUACAGGGGAGUCAAAAAUCGUUCACUAUCAUACAUAAACACAUAUACACAGAUAAACUCGCACAUAUACACAGAUUAACCCUAAAACAAUGAAUUAAGCCGCGAAAGAUAUAUAUGUAUCGAUUAUAUAGAGUAAUUGAAGGUGAAAUGCAUACCUUAUACUUUGAUCAGUGUUGAAUUAAGUGGCGAGUGGCUGUAUUGUUCACUAUCUCGAUCGAUCCCCUCUUUCCAUGGAACCCUAAUCCUGCGUGUGUGUUUGGUUCUGUGACAUUAAACUCUCGUACCCGACUAAUGACCCAAAUUCAUGUUUUUUUACUUUUAAUUCAUUUUAUUUUAAUUACUUUUUUAAUUAAAUCAUAAUGGAUUAACGUUUUAUUAACGUUAACUAAACAGAGUGGUAUGUGAUGGAUGAAGUCAAAAGUUGGGUGUUACCACUUGGAAGCCCAAAAUAGUCAUUGGUACCAUGUGGAAAAGCCAAUUCUACAAUGGUACCAUUAGGAAUUUCCCUUAGAAUUAUAACUUUUGCUAAAGUUUUUUGCUUUUUAGUUAGUGAAUUAUAUAGUAAAAGCUGUGAUUGGAUUCUAUUGGUUUUAUAUUAUAACAUUCAUCUCAAUUGCAUUGUUCAUUUUUUGUGUCGAUUUCUAAGGCUUGAUUACUUUUCCGGAAAAACCAAAGCCAUGUGUAUUUUUGAUAUAUUCUUGACAAAGAAGAUAUGGAGGAGAUGAAUAUUUUAUAGAAUAUGUUUAACUUGAUCAGAUUUAUGUGCUUGAUGUAUAAUGUUUUCGUAUUCAAUAUAGUAAUUUGUUUUAUCAAGUGGAAACACUCGAAUAAACAUAGGAAAGCUUAAAGGUGUUUAGUCAGGAAGAAAAAAUCAGUAGAAAGAUUGAGUUGGUGGAAAGAAAUUGGAGAAGGGCAUUUGAUGAGUCAAUUCAGUGCUUCCUCCAGCGGCAAAACAAGUGAGAACUUCUUAAACUUCAAACACGAGGAAUGACAGGGAAGGCUAUUUGCACCCGUCUAAUAAUUUUCAGGUACUAAUUUAAUGAUAACCUACACCUGUAUAGGCAUUUAUUCCUAUAUUUGUUUAUGUCUAGUUCCUGGAAAGUGAAUUACAAUACAAACUAGGGUAAACAAAAAUAUUAAUUUUGGAUAUAAUCCAACCAAUGUAACUUUAUAAACAUUUUAAUAGUGUUCAUCUUGUAUAUGUCUUCCCAUUAUGACAAUAUAGAUUCUUGUUACUGAGGAAGGUUGCAUUUUAUUCAAUUUGAUAGUUUAUUCUCCAUCUCGAUUAUCUUAUUUCCAUCUAAGUCCUACUGAAAUCUUGGGGUAUGUUCAGGACUAGUACCAGUAAAGGGAAUCUAUUGGAUUGAGCAAAAAUUAUCAAUCCAAGAAGAUAAAGUUUUCACGGGCGAAUAAUGACUCAAUUUUUGAUUUUAAAUCAUAUUCAUCCUCAUGUACUUCAAAAUCAUAUUCACUGUAGAACGACAAUACCGGAAAGUGAUCCGUUAUACCACAGCGGUAGUUCCAUAUAUCAUAAAUGAAUUAAACAAAACCAUUGCACUCAAUGCAAUGACAAAAAAUCAUAUACAUCCUCAUGUACUUCAAAAUCAUAUUCACUGUAGAACGACAAUACCGGAAAGUGAUCCGUUAUACCACAUCGGUAGUUCCAUAUAUCGUAAAUGAAUUAAACAAAACCAUUGCACUCAAUGCAAUGACAAAAAAUGUUAUUAUGAACAUUGGUAGAGUUCAUGUAGCUUGGCAAAAUGGAGACUUUCAAAUUGGAGGGGAUCAAGUGACCCCUACAAAUGUUUACGGGACUGAUGCUGAUCUAUAGAUUCUAAAUCUCAUUCCAGAUCAAGAAGCCUUAGGUUAUUUGGGUGGAGGAAUAUAUUUUGAUGCCUUGCUGUGACACGGGCAACCUCAAAAGAUAAAUAUAUUUCUUAAAUUUUGUCAAACAUAAAUUUGGAGCAUCUUCUAAUUCAUUGGUUUUGGAAGUAAUCCACAUGUGAUAGUGAUGAUAUAUAUUGAAGAUGGAUAUACAUAUAAGAUAAAUUUUGUGAAUAAAUGUAAACCACAUAGAAACAAAUCAAAUGUUUAUAUAUUAUUUUUU
This 15517-nucleotide long non-coding RNA is filed under the name Daucus carota (carrot). RNAcentral's name for it is "long non-coding RNA (DCAR_LNC000489)". Lineage: Eukaryota; Viridiplantae; Streptophyta; Magnoliopsida; Apiales; Apiaceae. The record is from RNAcentral.